This 24-nucleotide non-coding RNA is filed under the name Mus musculus (house mouse). Lineage: Eukaryota; Metazoa; Chordata; Mammalia; Rodentia; Muridae. The record is from RNAcentral.
UGACACAGGAAUGAUGUGAUGAAG